This 338-nucleotide unclassified non-coding RNA is filed under the name fungal sp. RNAcentral's name for it is "partial internal transcribed spacer region". The stretch from base 1 to 46 matches the Rfam family "Eukaryotic small subunit ribosomal RNA", at positions 1786 to 1831 of the family's 1831-position model. The record is from RNAcentral. Lineage: Eukaryota; Fungi.
AAGUCGUAACAAGGUUUCCGUAGGUGAACCUGCGGAAGGAUCAUUAACAAAUCUAUGAGCGAAAGCUCAUCAACCUUUGUGAAUUGGGUUGUGUAGUUGGUAACAAUUCUUCAACUUUGUUGGGGACCCUUUGUGUAUGUAAUGUAAUGUAAUAUAAUGUAAUAUAAUGUAAUAUAAUAGAAAGAUUAUUUCGAAAGAUUUAAUUUUUCUAUUGCAUGCAUGCAUAUCAUAUUAUAUCAUAUCAUAUCAUAUAUAAUAUUAACAUUGUCUGAUUAUAGAUUGAAGUCGUAAGAUUUCAAAUAAAAAUACAACUUUUAACAAUGGAUCUCUAGGCUCUU